UACGUAGGGUGCAAGCGUUGUCCGGAAUUAUUGGGCGUAAAGGGCUCGUAGGCGGUCUGUCACGUCGGGAGUGAAAACUCGGGGCUUAACCCCGAGCCUGCUUCCGAUACGGGCAGACUAGAGGUAUGCAGGGGGAGAACGGAAUUCCUGGUGUAGCGGUGAAAAUGCGCAGAUAUCAGGAGGAACACCGAUGGCGAAAGGGCAGGGUCUCUGGGCAUUAACUGACGCUGAGGAGCGAAAGCAUGGGGAGCGAACAGGA
RNAcentral lists this ribosomal RNA (259 nucleotides) under uncultured bacterium. RNAcentral's name for it is "partial 16S ribosomal RNA". It matches the Rfam family "Bacterial small subunit ribosomal RNA", at positions 524 to 777 of the family's 1533-position model. The record is from RNAcentral.